Molecule: long non-coding RNA, 1581 nt
Filed under: Homo sapiens (human)
Lineage: Eukaryota; Metazoa; Chordata; Mammalia; Primates; Hominidae
Description: non-protein coding lnc-IL15RA-2:3
Source: RNAcentral
CGCGGGCACUCACCCAGGCCGGCCGCUCACAACCGAGCGCAGGGCCGCGGAGGGAGACCAGGAAAGCCGAAGGCGGAGCAGCUGGAGGCGACCAGCGCCGGGCGAGGUCAAGUGGAUCCGAGCCGCAGAGAGGGCUGGAGAGAGUCUGCUCUCCGAUGACUUUGCCCACUCUCUUCGCAGUGGGGACACCGGACCGAGUGCACACUGGAGGUCCCAGAGCACGACGAGCGCGGAGGACCGGGAGGCUCCCGGGCUUGCGUGGGCAUCACGUGCCCUCCCCCCAUGUCCGUGGAACACGCAGACAUCUGGGUCAAGAGCUACAGCUUGUACUCCAGGGAGCGGUACAUUUGUAACUCUGGUUUCAAGCGUAAAGCCGGCACGUCCAGCCUGACGGAGUGCGUGUUGAACAAGGCCACGAAUGUCGCCCACUGGACAACCCCCAGUCUCAAAUGCAUUAAGCCCGCAGCUUCAUCUCCCAGCUCAAACAACACAGCGGCCACAACAGCAGCUAUUGUCCCGGGCUCCCAGCUGAUGCCUUCAAAAUCACCUUCCACAGGAACCACAGAGAUAAGCAGUCAUGAGUCCUCCCACGGCACCCCCUCUCAGACAACAGCCAAGAACUGGGAACUCACAGCAUCCGCCUCCCACCAGCCGCCAGGUGUGUAUCCACAGGGCCACAGCGACACCACUGUGGCUAUCUCCACGUCCACUGUCCUGCUGUGUGGGCUGAGCGCUGUGUCUCUCCUGGCAUGCUACCUCAAGUCAAGGCAAACUCCCCCGCUGGCCAGCGUUGAAAUGGAAGCCAUGGAGGCUCUGCCGGUGACUUGGGGGACCAGCAGCAGAGAUGAAGACUUGGAAAACUGCUCUCACCACCUAUGAAACUCGGGGAAACCAGCCCAGCUAAGUCCGGAGUGAAGGAGCCUCUCUGCUUUAGCUAAAGACGACUGAGAAGAGGUGCAAGGAAGCGGGCUCCAGGAGCAAGCUCACCAGGCCUCUCAGAAGUCCCAGCAGGAUCUCACGGACUGCCGGGUCGGCGCCUCCUGCGCGAGGGAGCAGGUUCUCCGCAUUCCCAUGGGCACCACCUGCCUGCCUGUCGUGCCUUGGACCCAGGGCCCAGCUUCCCAGGAGAGACCAAAGGCUUCUGAGCAGGAUUUUUAUUUCAUUACAGUGUGAGCUGCCUGGAAUACAUGUGGUAAUGAAAUAAAAACCCUGCCCCGAAUCUUCCGUCCCUCAUCCUAACUUUCAGUUCACAGAGAAAAGUGACAUACCCAAAGCUCUCUGUCAAUUACAAGGCUUCUCCUGGCGUGGGAGACGUCUACAGGGAAGACACCAGCGUUUGGGCUUCUAACCACCCUGUCUCCAGCUGCUCUGCACACAUGGACAGGGACCUGGGAAAGGUGGGAGAGAUGCUGAGCCCAGCGAAUCCUCUCCAUUGAAGGAUUCAGGAAGAAGAAAACUCAACUCAGUGCCAUUUUACGAAUAUAUGCGUUUAUAUUUAUACUUCCUUGUCUAUUAUAUCUAUACAUUAUAUAUUAUUUGUAUUUUGACAUUGUACCUUGUAUAAACAAAAUAAAACAUCUA